GAUGAACGCUGGCGGCGUGCCUAAUACAUGCAAGUCGAGCGAACGGACGAGAAGCUUUCUUCUCUGAUGUUAUCGGCGGACGUGUGAGUAACACGUGUAUAACCUACCUAUAAUACUGGGAUAACUUCGGGAAACCGGAGCUAAUACCGGAUGAUAUUUUGAACCGCAUUGUUCAAAAGUGAAAGACGGUCUUGCUGUCACUUAUAGAUGGAUCCGCGCUGCAUUAGCUAGUUGGUAAGGUAACGGCUUACCAAGGCAACGAUGCAUAGCCGACCUGAGAGGGUGAUCGGCGACACGGGAAGUGAGACACGGAAAAGAGUACUACGGGAGGCAGCAGGAGGGAAUGUUACGCAAUGGGCGAAAGCAUGACGGAGCAAGGCCGAGUGAGUGAUGAAGGUCUAGGGAGCGGAAAACGCUGUUAUGAGGGAAGAAAAUAUGUGUAAGAAAAUGUGGACAGAGUGACGGUAACUAAACAGAAAGCAACGGCUAACUACGUG
RNAcentral lists this ribosomal RNA (497 nucleotides) under uncultured bacterium. RNAcentral describes it as "partial 16S ribosomal RNA". It matches the Rfam family "Bacterial small subunit ribosomal RNA", at positions 28 to 507 of the family's 1533-position model. The record is from RNAcentral.